GACAGAGGGUGCAAACGUUGUUCGGAAUUACUGGGCGUAAAGCGAGUGUAGGCGGUUUGGUAAGUCGGAUGUGAAAGCCCCGGGCUCAACCCGGGAAGUGCACUCGAUACUGCCAAGCUAGAGUAUCGGAGAGGUUGGUGGAAUUCUCGGUGUAGAGGUGAAAUUCGUAGAUAUCGAGAGGAACACCGGUGGCGAAGGCGGCCAACUGGACGAAUACUGACGCUGAGACUCGAAAGCGUGGGGAGCAAACGGG
Molecule: ribosomal RNA, 253 nt
Filed under: uncultured bacterium
Lineage: Bacteria
Description: partial 16S ribosomal RNA
Rfam family: Bacterial small subunit ribosomal RNA
Source: RNAcentral